This 492-nucleotide ribosomal RNA is filed under the name uncultured bacterium. RNAcentral's name for it is "partial 16S ribosomal RNA". It matches the Rfam family "Bacterial small subunit ribosomal RNA", at positions 29 to 507 of the family's 1533-position model. The record is from RNAcentral.
AGUGAACGCUGGCGGUAGGCCUAACACAUGCAAGUCGAACGGCAGCACAGUAAGAGCUUGCUCUUACGGGUGGCGAGUGGCGGACGGGUGAGGAAUACAUCGGAAUCUACUUUUUCGUGGGGGAUAACGUAGGGAAACUUACGCUAAUACCGCAUACGACCUACGGGUGAAAGCAGGGGAUCUUCGGACCUUGCGCGAUUGAAUUAGCCGAUGUCGGAUUAGCUCGUUGGCGGGGUAAAGGCACAACAAGGCCACGAUCCGUAGCUGGUCUGAGAGGAUGAACAGCCAGACUGGAACUGAGACACGGUCCAGACUCCUACGGGAGGCAGCAGUCGGGAAUAUUGGACAAUGGGCGCAAGCCGGAUCCAGCCAUACCGCGUGGGGGAAGAAGGACUUCGGGUUGGAAAGUCCUUUUGUUGGGAAAGAAAAGCAGCAGGUUAAUACCCCGCUGUUCUGACGGUACCCAAAGAAUAAGCACCGGCUAACUUCGUG